This 796-nucleotide ribosomal RNA is filed under the name Allenoconcha basispiralis. RNAcentral describes it as "partial large subunit ribosomal RNA". The stretch from base 424 to 569 matches the Rfam family "Bacterial large subunit ribosomal RNA", at positions 1797 to 2006 of the family's 2925-position model. Lineage: Eukaryota; Metazoa; Mollusca; Gastropoda; Stylommatophora; Microcystidae. The record is from RNAcentral.
UUGUAAAAUUAUUUCAAAUAUAUAAAAGUUACCUUUUGCAUAAUGGUUUAAUUAAAUUUUAAAAAUUUUUCAUUCCCGAAAUAAAAAGAUCUAAUAAAAAAUUAAAAAUAUGUUUUAAAAUAUUUAUUUAAUUUUUUAUUAGGUGUGAAAGGCUAGUCAAUUUUUAUGAUAUCUGGAUAAGAUUAAAUGUAUUUAGUACAGGCUAAAAGCUGAUGAGCCCCCUGUUAAGGGGGGGCUCAAAAAGUAUAUUAAUAUUAUAAAUUUAUUUAGGAUAGUUCUAUAAUAACUACUAUGUGUUUAGAAUUUUUAUUUUUUAUGAUUUGGGUUUUUUUUCUAGAAAAUUUUUAAUUUCCUAAAUUUUUCAUAAUGUUAAAAUAAGUAUUAAUUAAUAAUUUAAAUAUAGGAACUCGGCAACUUAUUACUCAACUGUUUAUCAAAAACAUAGUUUUAUGAAAAUGUAUAAAAUGAAUUCUGCCCAAUGAUUAGUUUAAUGGCCGCAGUACUUUAACUGUGCUAAGGUAGCAUAAUAAUUUGGCUUUUAAUUAAGGUCUGGUAUGAAAGGAUUUAUGGGUAGUAACUGUCUUUAUUUAACUUUUAAAAAUUUACUUAAAAGGUGAAAAUUCCUUUAAUAUUAAAAUAGACGAGAAGACCCUAGGAGUUUUCAUUUUGUUGGGGCGACAUUUCAGUAGAUAACCUAAGAAAAAAAAUUUGACGGAUAUAUCAAUUAUAAAUAAACUACCCUAGGGAUAACAGCAUAAUAAUUUUUUUUUGUUUGUGACCUCGAUGUUGGACUAGG